GACGAACGCUGGCGGCGUGCCUAAUACAUGCAAGUUGAGCGCUGAAGGUUGGUACUUGUACCAACUGGAUGAGCAGCGAACGGGUGAGUAACGCGUGGGGAAUCUGCCUUUGAGCGGGGGACAACAUUUGGAAACGAAUGCUAAUACCGCAUAAAAACUUUAAACACAAGUUUUAAGUUUGAAAGAUGCAAUUGCAUCACUCAAAGAUGAUCCCGCGUUGUAUUAGCUAGUUGGUGAGGUAAAGGCUCAACAAGGCGAUGAUACAUAGCCGACCUGAGAGGGGUAUCGGCCACAAUGGGACCGGGAAACGGGCCCAAACCCUACGGGGAGCAACAAGAGGGGAAUUUCGGCAAAUGACGGAAGUCUGGACGGGCCACGGCGCGGUGAUGGAGGAAGGUUUCGGGUCGUAAAACUCCUUUGGUAGAGAAGAACGUUGGUGAGAGUGGAAAGCCCAUCAAGUGACGGUAACUACCCAGAAAGGGACGGCUAACUACGUG
This 497-nucleotide ribosomal RNA is filed under the name uncultured bacterium. Its description in RNAcentral is "partial 16S ribosomal RNA". It matches the Rfam family "Bacterial small subunit ribosomal RNA", at positions 28 to 507 of the family's 1533-position model. The record is from RNAcentral.